UAAACAAUUUGACACCCUCAUGACAGUCGCCGCAAUACAUUUAUAUCGUUUUACCGUCAUAAAAGUACAAUUUCUGCUGAUGACAGCUGAAUGACAGACACAUAAUGUCACUUAACAGCACAUAUUUCAUCCCAGCCACAAAAACAACCGGCACGCGCUGUGAUAAAGUGAAUUGACUGUCACGCGACUCACCUAAUAUGGGAUGUUUGGACCGUUACUCCACAACAUAAGCAUGUGGACAGACAUUGACUGUAAUGAUGGACAUCUUCUGAUGCACAGAAAACUAGUGCAGAGAUCUACAUUAUCACUUCUAGAUGAGCAUGUCAGUUAUUAUCCACAGGCUUCAUCAAUACUCAACUCAGCUUGAUCAACUCAUUCUUUUCUAUAGUCUCACAUCAGGACCACAGACAGACACCCAGAACUUUGUGUUUGCCAUGAGAUUUUACAGG
Long non-coding RNA from Cyprinus carpio carpio, 449 nucleotides. Lineage: Eukaryota; Metazoa; Chordata; Actinopteri; Cypriniformes; Cyprinidae. The record is from Ensembl.